RNAcentral lists this ribosomal RNA (253 nucleotides) under uncultured bacterium. RNAcentral describes it as "partial 16S ribosomal RNA". It matches the Rfam family "Bacterial small subunit ribosomal RNA", at positions 524 to 776 of the family's 1533-position model. The record is from RNAcentral.
GACGGAGGGGGCAAGCGUUGUUCGGAAUUACUGGGCGAAAAGGGCGCGCAGGCGGUCAUGCAAGUCGGGGGUGAAAGCCCACGGCUUAACCGUGGAAUUGCCUUAGAAACUGCAUGACUUGAGUACGGAAGAGGAGAGCGGAAUUCCCAGUGUAGCGGUGAAAUGCGUAGAUAUUGGGAGGAACACCAGUGGCGAAGGCGGCUCUCCGGUCCGAUACUGACACUGAGGCGCGAAAGCCAGGGGAGCAAACGGG